CAUCCUUGAUCGGAAGGUCCGGGUAAUCUUUUGAAACUUCAUCGUGCUGGGGAUAGUCCCUUGCAAUUUUUGGACUUAAACGAGGAAUUCCUAGUAAGCGUGAGUCAUCAACUCGCGUUGAUUACGUCCCUGCCCUUUGUACACACCGCCCGUCGCUACUACCGAUUGAAUGGCUUAGUGAAUCCUUCGGAUUGGCUAUUUUUUUCUGGCAACAGAAUUAAACUGCUAAAAAGUUGGGCAAACUUGGUCAUUUAGAGGAAGUAAAAGUCGUAACAAGGUUUCCGUAGGUGAACCUGCGGAAGGAUCAUUAAAAAAUAUCGCUCGAUUGAGAGUGAUUUAAUAAUCAUCCUACCCUUUGUGAAUUUGUUGUUUGUAAUAAUUUUUUUUGAUUUUAAAAAAAAAUUAUUUAUGGUUUUGUCUAUCCCUAAAAUUGGUUUGUUGUGAAAUGAAUCAAAUUUAGGGAAUAGGCUUUCAUAAAUAAGUUUUUUUUAAAGUCUUAAAGACCUUUUUUAAAAUUAAACUUUUGUAUUCAUUUGUCUAAAUUUUUUUUAAAAUAAUUUAAAAACAACUUUUGACAAUGGAUCUCUUGGUUCUCGCAACGAUGAAGAACGCAGCAAAAUGCGAUAAGUAAUGUGAAUUGCAGAAUACGUGAAUCAUCAAAUCUUCGAACGCAUAUUGCAC
Molecule: ribosomal RNA, 681 nt
Filed under: Neocallimastix frontalis
Lineage: Eukaryota; Fungi; Neocallimastigomycota; Neocallimastigomycetes; Neocallimastigales; Neocallimastigaceae
Description: bacterial SSU rRNA
Rfam family: Eukaryotic small subunit ribosomal RNA (bases 1-310)
Source: RNAcentral